CACGCUGUAAACGGUGAGUGCUGGGUGUGGGAGGUGUAAUGCCUUCUGUGCCGAAGCUAACGCGUUAAGCACUCCGCCUGGGGAGUACGGCCGCAAGGUUGAAACUCAAAGGAAUUGACGGGGGCCCGCACAAGCGGUGGAGCAUGUGGUUUAAUUCGACGCAACGCGAAAAACCUUACCUGGGCUUGACAUGGAGAGAAUCUUCUGGAAACAGAAGAGUGCCUCGUAAGAGGAGCUCUCACACAGGUGC
Molecule: ribosomal RNA, 250 nt
Filed under: uncultured Pseudomonadota bacterium
Lineage: Bacteria; Pseudomonadati; Pseudomonadota
Description: uncultured proteobacterium partial 16S ribosomal RNA
Rfam family: Bacterial small subunit ribosomal RNA
Source: RNAcentral